GAUCAGCGCGUUUUUUUCUCUAUACUCCGCGCGUAAAAAUAGCAUAUCAAUAAGCGGAGGAAAAGAAACCAACAGGGAUUGCCCUAGUAACGGCGAGUGAAGCGGCAACAGCUCAAAUUUGAAAUCUGGCUCUUUCAGAGUCCGAGUUGUAAUUUGCAGAGGGCGCUUUGGCUUUGGCAGCGGUCCAAGUUCCUUGGAACAGGACGUCACAGAGGGUGAGAAUCCCGUACGUGGUCGCUAGCUAUUGCCGUGUAAAGCCCCUUCGACGAGUCGAGUUGUUUGGGAAUGCAGCUCUAAAUGGGAGGUAAAUUUCUUCUAAAGCUAAAUAUUGGCCAGAGACCGAUAGCGCACAAGUAGAGUGAUCGAAAGAUGAAAAGCACUUUGGAAAGAGAGUCAAACAGCACGUGAAAUUGUUGAAAGGGAAGCGCUUGCAGCCAGACUUGCUUGCAGUUGCUCAUCCGGGCUUUUGCCCGGUGCACUCUUCUGUAGGCAGGCCAGCAUCAGUUUGGGCGGUGGGAUAAAGGUCUCUGUCACGUACCUUCCUUCGGGUUGGCCUUAUAGGGGAGACGCCAUACCACCAGCCUGGACUGAGGUCCGCGCAUCUGCUAGGAUGCUGGCGUAAUGGCUGUAAGCGGCCCGUCUUGAAACACGGACCAAGGAGUCUAACAUCUAUGCGAGUGUUUGGGUGUCAAGCCCGAACGCGUAAUGAAAGUGAACGGAGGUGGGAACCCGCAAGGGUGCACCAUCGACCGAUCCUGAAGUUUACGGAAGGAUUUGAGUAAGAGCAUGGCUGUUGGGACCCGAAAGAUGGUGAACUAUGCUUGAAUAGGGUGAAGCCAGAGGAAACUCUGGUGGAGGCUCGCAGCGGUUCUGACGUGCAAAUCGAUCGUCAAAUUUGGGCAUAGGGGCGAAAGACUAAUCGAACAUCAUGCCUCG
Molecule: ribosomal RNA, 936 nt
Filed under: Curvularia lunata
Lineage: Eukaryota; Fungi; Ascomycota; Dothideomycetes; Pleosporales; Pleosporaceae
Description: partial large subunit ribosomal RNA
Rfam family: Eukaryotic large subunit ribosomal RNA
Source: RNAcentral